Molecule: long non-coding RNA, 657 nt
Filed under: Chinchilla lanigera (long-tailed chinchilla)
Lineage: Eukaryota; Metazoa; Chordata; Mammalia; Rodentia; Chinchillidae
Description: lncRNA (ENSCLAG00000026167.1)
Source: RNAcentral
ACCCCGUUUCUCCAGUGGCCACAACAAGCGGGUCUUCAGCUGUGCUCCUGGGACUUGGGGAGCCUGGCUUGUGGGCACCCCCUGCCGGGUGCGCCCUGGAGUCUCCUCAUUAGCACCACGGACAGCUCGCGUGAGCCUGAGCUGGGAGGCGACCAGACGCUCAGCGCCAGCACAGGGAGGAGGGAGCGCAGCAGGGAAGGCGGAGGAGGAAGAGGAGAGGAAAGGAAGGAGGACGCGGAGGACGCGGCUCCCAGGCUGGGGAGGAAAUCUGGAAGCAGUCAGAGCAGCAUUCUGGGGGAGCUGUUCAGUGGCACAGCCUCACUGCUCAGGCAGACCCUAGCAGCUCGCCAGUCGCUCUGGGCGGAGGCUGCUGGCGGAGACCCGACGCCAGAGUUUAAAAUGCAAUGGCCAGAAGACAAGGAAAUGUCACUAGAAAUACAUGGACAUGGACUCCUGGGCUGCUGCUGAUGACUGUGAUCUUUUGGGGUCAGCAAGGGAGUGGGCAAGGCCAAGUAAUCCAGCCAGCAGGAGUUUGGAAUCCUCAGGAAGAACAAAGACUUCUUAUCUGCACAAUGGUAGCAUUCAGAAGAGUUGGAAGUUAGAAGUACUGUUAAGAACAAAGACGUGACAGUCCUCAAUGGUCCUCGUGUUCAGCUU